UUUGACGCAGUUUCAUCUCCUUCCUGAUGCAUCCUGAGCCCCUCAGUGCCUAGCUCCUGCGUAAGCGCUGUAAACUGGACCAAGUGGAUUGAAAUGGCCAGAAAUUGAUCUUGAUCACUUUAGAUAUUUUAUGACAAAGGAAAACAAUCAUUUCUGUCCAGUUAAAAUCCAUUUGAGCCAGUUUAAGCUAUUUGUGUAGAGCUGGAGCCUGAGGUCGGCAAGCUCAGGAAGAUGGCUGAAGACUAUGCUGACUCAAGGCCAGACAAGGAUCCAGGUUUCUUGGAUGGCAGAUUCACUUUUUUCUCGACUUCACGCUGGACCUGUGGUGACUGGAAACCUUGAGAUGUGAUGAGGAAACUGAGGCUCAGAGAAGUCCUAUGACUUGUCCAAGGCCAUGAAGCUAAGGCACAUCAGGACUAUGCACAACUACGUCAUGUUGGGCUGGGUGCCUGGAGUUGAUGAGAGUAUUGUGAAGAUAUAUGAUCAGCCUGCAGCCCAGCAGGUCCUGGAGGAUAAGGUUGGAACACAGCUGAGCUAUUACACAGGCCAAAUGGCAUGAGCACUUAUUCAUAAUGUCUGUACCUUCCCCGGAACAUUGUCCACUAUAGACACUUGGAAGGACCCAUUUAUAAGAAGACAUGGAGAUCUUCCCUUUAAUGAUCAGGAAAGUGUGGUCUAAAGAGGGGCAGGGACCUCUCCAAGUUUUUCUACUUAAUGAUUUUGUCCCUGAUAGUGCCAGAAAUUAAUUUUUAAUAUAAUCUAGAAAAUUUAGGCUUCAAAGCACACUCAUUUUUGAGGCAAGACCAAAUCCCCUGUGAAACUGGCUACAAGAUAGGUCUGUAGGGUUGUGUUUUCAUUUCUUCCUGAUUAUUAGAUAAGCUAACAUCAUGGAAAUGUAAAGGUACACACUCAGAGAAUCAGGCAGACUGGGACUAAUUCCCUUUCUGGAGCCCAGAAGGAAAUAUACUAAUUUUUUUUUUUUU
Long non-coding RNA from Onychomys torridus (southern grasshopper mouse), 983 nucleotides. RefSeq lists it as uncharacterized. The record is from RefSeq and is a predicted model, not a curated record. Lineage: Eukaryota; Metazoa; Chordata; Mammalia; Rodentia; Cricetidae. The transcript is spliced from 4 exons.